Molecule: transfer RNA, 71 nt
Filed under: Ovis aries (sheep)
Lineage: Eukaryota; Metazoa; Chordata; Mammalia; Artiodactyla; Bovidae
Rfam family: tRNA
About the family: Transfer RNA (tRNA) molecules are approximately 80 nucleotides in length. Their secondary structure includes four short double-helical elements and three loops (D, anti-codon, and T loops).
Source: Rfam by way of RNAcentral
UCCCUGGUGGCUCAGCGGUACAGAAUCUGCCUGCAAUGCAGGAGACCUGGGUUCAAUCCCUUGGUUGGGAA